GAUGAAGAACGUAGCGAAAUGCGAUAAGUAAUGCGAAUUGCAGAAUUCAGUGAAUCAUCGAAUCUUUGAACGCACAUUGCGCCCUCUGGUAUUCCGGGGGGCAUGCCUGUUCGAGCGUCAUUACAACCCUCAAGCUUUGCUUGGUAUUGGACAUUGCCAGUUUCUGGCAGGUCUUAAAAUCAGUGGCGGUGCCAUUUGGCUUCAAGCGUAGUAAUUCUUCUCGCUUUGGAGAUCCAGGUGGUUACUUGCCAAUAACCCCCAAUUUUUUCAGGUUGACCUCGGAUCAGGUAGGGAUACCCGCUGAACUUAAGCAUAUCAAUAAGCGGAGGA
Molecule: unclassified non-coding RNA, 330 nt
Filed under: soil metagenome
Description: partial contains 5.8S ribosomal RNA, internal transcribed spacer 2, and large subunit ribosomal RNA
Rfam family: 5.8S ribosomal RNA (bases 1-120)
Source: RNAcentral